UACCUGGUUGAUCCUGCCAGUAGUCAUAUGCUUGUCUCAAUGAUUAAGC
This 49-nucleotide ribosomal RNA is filed under the name Tragia pohlii. Its description in RNAcentral is "partial 18S ribosomal RNA". It matches the Rfam family "Eukaryotic small subunit ribosomal RNA", at positions 1 to 49 of the family's 1831-position model. The record is from RNAcentral. Lineage: Eukaryota; Viridiplantae; Streptophyta; Magnoliopsida; Malpighiales; Euphorbiaceae.